Molecule: ribosomal RNA, 388 nt
Filed under: uncultured bacterium
Lineage: Bacteria
Description: bacterial SSU rRNA
Rfam family: Bacterial small subunit ribosomal RNA
Source: RNAcentral
GACGAACGCUGGCGGCGUGCUUAACACAUGCAAGUCGAGCGGUAAGGCCCUUUCGGGGGUACACGAGCGGCGAACGGGUGAGUAACACGUGGGUGACCUGCCCUCAGCUCUGGGAUAAGCCUGGGAAACCGGGUCUAAUACCGGAUAUGACUCCAUGACGCAUGUUGUGGGGUGGAAAGCCUUGUGCGGCUGAGGAUGGGCCCGCGGCCUAUCAGCUUGUUGGUGGGGUGAUGGCCUACCAAGGCGACGACGGGUAGCCGGCCUGAGAGGGCGACCGGCCACACUGGGACCGAGACACGGCCCAGACUCCUACGGGAGGCAGCAGUGGGGAAUCUUGCGCAAUGGGCGAAAGCCUGACGCAGCGACGCCGCGUGAGGGAUGACGGCCU